AAAAAGAUGAAUUGUGUAGCUAGAGAUCAUAACAAACUCUGAGGAGAUUCAAGCUAAGGUACAUUUACAAAAACUUAUUUUAAAUUACAAUGGGUUGUUGCAUUUUCGAAACUGAUCCUACAGACCAAUAAGUACUAUUCAGUUAAUUUGAAAACACUUACAAAAAAAACUAAGAUAUAAUUUAGCAACUUUAACAUUUUUUAUUAUGUUUGUAGGGACAUUAAUGGGAAACUGGUGUAGUUGUGUAACAAAAGAUGAAAAUAGUGAUAAUUCUAGUAGCUCUCAAACUUCUACGGAUAAAGAAAGUAGUGUGCAAGUUUCUUCUGUGAGCACUACGUCUUCUUCAGAGAUUUCAUCUGAAUGUUCUUCUUCAAAAUGAUCAUCUCAAAGCUCCCAAUGAUGGAAGCGUAACUAGUGAGCAAAUGUCGCAUGGAUCAUCUUCUUCAUCUUAUCAAUAAAAAAAUCUUCAAAAUAAAUAAUUUUCUAUGUCAAUUUUUAUAU
This 501-nucleotide small RNA is filed under the name Arabidopsis thaliana (thale cress). RNAcentral describes it as "ATSL124640". The record is from RNAcentral. Lineage: Eukaryota; Viridiplantae; Streptophyta; Magnoliopsida; Brassicales; Brassicaceae.